Molecule: long non-coding RNA, 1100 nt
Organism: Homo sapiens (human)
Lineage: Eukaryota; Metazoa; Chordata; Mammalia; Primates; Hominidae
Exons: 5
Source: RefSeq, a predicted model, not a curated record
GAAGAUCAAGAGGCAGUGAUGUGUCAUUAUGAUCUCCAUUUCAUACACAAAGAACGGAGCUUCACAGUGGUUAAGUAACUUGGCUGAACUUACACCAGCAUGAAGAUUCAAAUUCCAGUCCAAAACUUAUGGAAAUAUCUAUUAGAGAAGCCUGUAUUAGUUCUCUACCAGAUAUAUUUUCCUAGAUUCAGAAAAGCCUGAAUUUGCAAAAAGUUUGUUUCGAUCAUCAUAGGCAAGGUGAAAUAGAAAGUCGAAGAAAUCAUCUCGGUCAUUACGAGUCCUCAAGUAGUUGCUUUUUGUACUUUGAAUAAAGACUUUAGUCAUAGUAGGAGAGAUAGACUGUAAUGGACUUACUUCACGAUGGCUGCACCAGAGGUUCCAAGAACGAUGGCUUUCAACUUCAACCCACAUCUAAAACACACCACUGUAGCCACACCCUACACCCUGUGGUUAUCCAGUUGUGAGUCCUAUUGGAGAGAUGAGAUUUAACUAGAUGACCAUGACCAUGAAGAACUUCUCAAGCUCUUUGGUUCUACAGGUGUAUGACAGUUUCCUGGAGGGGGUCAUAUGGAUCUACUACUACCUUCCCACUGACAUUAGGCAGAUGUUCAUUAGAUUGGUUUGAUAGAUGUAAUGGUUAAUAUUGAGUGUCAACUUGAUUGGAUUGAAGGAUGCAAAGUAUUGUUCCUGGGUGCGUCUGUGAGGGUGUUGCCAAAGGAGAUUAACAUUUGAAUCAUUGGACUGGGAGAGGCAGACCCACCCUCAAUCUGGGUGGGCACAAUCUAAUCAGCUGCCAGCAUGGCCAGCAUAAAAGCAGGCAGAAGAAUGUGGAAGGAGUAGACUGGCUCAGUCUCCUGGCCUACAUCUUUCUCCCACGCUGCAUGCUUCCUGCCCUCGAACAUUGGACUCCAAGUUCUUCAGUUUUGGGACUCUUGAACCUUUGACCACAGACUGAAGGCUACACUGUUGACUUCCCUACUUUUGAGCUUUUAGGACUCGGACUGGCUUCCUUGUUCCUCAGCUUGCAGACGGCCUAUUGUGGGACCUCACUUUGUGAUCAUGUGAGUCAAUACUCCUUAAUAAACUCUCCUUUAAAUAUA